CUACAGUCUCCACCCCUUUUGGUUUUGAUUUAUAGUUGUAUCAAACCAUCUUUUGCACUCAGAGUCUGACUUAUCAUGAUGACAGUCAUAAAAAGUGUCUUCCUCUUGGCUCUCAUAUCAGCUGCCAGGGGUCAGUCCCUCACCUCCUCAGAGGCAGUGAUCAGCAAAGCAGGACAAUCAGUCACUCUGUCCUGUAAAGCACAAGGAAUGUCUCUAGCUUGGCUCCACUGGAUUCGUCAGAAACCGUUAGAAGCACUAGAAUGGAUUGGGCGCAUCGACAGUGGCACCGGCACAGCAUUUGCCCAACAUCUCCAAGGCCAAUUUUCUAUCACUAAAGAUACUUCUAAAAACACAGUCUCUCUGACAGUGAAGAGUCUGAAACCAGAAGACUCUGCAGUUUAUUAUUGUGCAAGAGAGACACAGUGA
Non-coding RNA from Gambusia affinis (western mosquitofish), 426 nucleotides. The record is from the annotation of a RefSeq genome assembly. Lineage: Eukaryota; Metazoa; Chordata; Actinopteri; Cyprinodontiformes; Poeciliidae.